This 835-nucleotide small RNA is filed under the name Pan troglodytes (chimpanzee). RNAcentral's name for it is "processed transcript". The record is from RNAcentral. Lineage: Eukaryota; Metazoa; Chordata; Mammalia; Primates; Hominidae.
CGACGAUCAGCCGGCCUGCCUCGUCCUCUCUGCUUCCCCAGGAUGCUGCGCUGGGCCGAGCGACCGAUUCCAAGGAGCCCCCGGGAGAGCUGUGCCCCGACGUCCUGUAUCGUACGGGCCGGACGCUGCACGGCCAGGAGACCUACACGCCGCGACUCAUCCUCAUGGAUCUGAAGGGUAGUUUGAGCUCCCUAAAAGAGGAAGGUGGACUCUACAGGGACAAACAGUUGGAUGCUGCAAUAGCAUGGCAGGGGAAACUCACCACACACAAAGAGGAACUCUAUCCCAAGAACCCUUAUCUCCAAGACUUUCUGAGUGCAGAGGUGAGGGCCUCUGUCCUGAACUUUUUAACCCAGUGCUACAACCCAAGGGUCUCCAUAGGGGCAGGGAGUGCUGAGUAGUGAUGGUGUUUGGAGGGUCAAAUCCAUUCCCAAUGGCAAAGGUUCCUCACCACUCACCACCGCUACAACUCCAAAACCACUUAUCCCUACAGAGGCCAGCAUCAGGGUCUGGUCAGACUUCCUCAGAGUCCAUCUCCAUCCCCGGAGCAUCUGUAUGAUUCAGAAGUACAACCACGAUGGGGAAGCAGGUCGGCUGGAGGCUUUUGGCCAAGGGGAAAGUGUCCUAAAGGAACCCAAGUACCAGGAAGAGCUGGAGGACAGGCUGCACUUCUACGUGGAGGAAUGUGACUACUUGCAGGGCUUCCAGAUCCUGUGUGACCUGCACGAUGGCUUCUCUGGGGUAGGCGCGAAGGCGGCAGAGCUGCUACAAGAUGAAUAUUCAGGGCGGGGAAUAAUAACUUGGGGCCUGCUACCUGGUCCCUACCAUCGUGGGG